This 495-nucleotide ribosomal RNA is filed under the name uncultured bacterium. RNAcentral's name for it is "partial 16S ribosomal RNA". It matches the Rfam family "Bacterial small subunit ribosomal RNA", at positions 28 to 507 of the family's 1533-position model. The record is from RNAcentral.
GACGAACGCUGGCGGCGUGCCUAAUACAUGCAAGUAGAACGCUGAAGGAGGAGCUUGCCUCUCCGGAUGAGUUGCGAACGGGUGAGUAACGCGUAGGUAACCUGCCUGGUAGCGGGGGAUAACUAUUGGAAACGAUAGCUAAUACCGCAUAACAGUAGAUGUUGCAUGACAUUUGCUUAAAAGGUGCAAUUGCAUCACUACCAGAUGGACCUGCGUUGUAUUAGCUAGUUGGUGAGGUAACGGCUCACCAAGGCGACGAUACAUAGCCGACCUGAGAGGGUGAUCGGCCACACUGGGACUGAGACACGGCCCAGACUCCUACGGGAGGCAGCAGUAGGGAAUCUUCGGCAAUGGACGGAAGUCUGACCGAGCAACGCCGCGUGAGUGAAGAAGGUUUUCGGAUCGUAAAGCUCUGUUGUAAGAGAAGAACGAGUGUGAGAGUGGAAAGUUCACACUGUGACGGUAUCUUACCAGAAAGGGACGGCUAACUACGUG